CAAUAAGCGGAGGAAAAGAAACCAACAGGGAUUGCCUCAGUAACGGCGAGUGAAGCGGCAACAGCUCAAAUUUGAAAUCUGGCCCUUUCAGGGUCCGAGUUGUAAUUUGUAGAAGAUGCUUCGGGUGUGGCUCCGGUCUAAGUUCCUUGGAACAGGACGUCAUAGAGGGUGAGAAUCCCGUAUGUGACCGGCUGCCUCCGCCCGUGUGAAGCUCUUUCGACGAGUCGAGUUGUUUGGGAAUGCAGCUCAAAAUGGGUGGUAAAUUUCAUCUAAAGCUAAAUAUUGGCCAGAGACCGAUAGCGCACAAGUAGAGUGAUCGAAAGAUGAAAAGCACUUUGGAAAGAGAGUUAAACAGUACGUGAAAUUGUUGAAAGGGAAGCGCUUGCAAUCAGACUUGCGCGCGGCUGAUCAUCCGGGGUUCUCCCCGGUGCACUCGGCCGCGCUCAGGCCAGCAUCGGUUUCGGUGGUUGGAUAAAGGCCUUGGGAAUGUGGCUCCUUUCGGGGAGUGUUAUAGCCCUCGGUGCAAUGCAGCCUACCGGGACCGAGG
Molecule: ribosomal RNA, 547 nt
Filed under: Calycina parvispora
Lineage: Eukaryota; Fungi; Ascomycota; Leotiomycetes; Helotiales
Description: LSU rRNA
Rfam family: Eukaryotic large subunit ribosomal RNA
Source: RNAcentral